CCAACUCGACAUGCCUCUACCU
Molecule: non-coding RNA, 22 nt
Filed under: Arabidopsis thaliana (thale cress)
Lineage: Eukaryota; Viridiplantae; Streptophyta; Magnoliopsida; Brassicales; Brassicaceae
Source: RNAcentral